This 979-nucleotide long non-coding RNA is filed under the name Androctonus crassicauda. Lineage: Eukaryota; Metazoa; Arthropoda; Arachnida; Scorpiones; Buthidae. The record is from RNAcentral.
GUUUGAACAAUGCGAGUAAUUUUUUGAUUUUUUUUUUUUUUUUCCUCCUCUCAUACGCACACGGAAUGUACAGAGAGUCAUUUUUAGAUUAAUGACGACAGCUUGUUUUUGGGAUAAUGCUUUCAAAUGGACUCGUUACAUUCUAUGAAUAGUUUUCGAACAGAAGAAACACCUAAUGAAAAAAAAAAAAAUGCGCGCUCGGAUAUUAAAAAAUAUCGAAUAAUAAACUUCGAAUUCGCAUUAUGGAAACCGUUCCCGCAGAUCUACUACCCACAUGAUGUCAACCACAGAUGCGUAAUAUAUGGAAUAUACAGGUGCUACCAGCUGCUCCGAUGAAUACUGUCAUCCGUGAGUCAGCGGGGAUGUUCGUUAUUAUGUUAUUACACGCAGAAUUCCAAGAAUUGUGCCACGUAGCAAGGAAAAAAAAAAUAAAAAAAAUACUGCCGAACAAUUUUUGCUCGUCGCACCGCGUAGUAACGAGUAAAAAUUCUCUCUUUUUUACGGCCACGGACGCGUGGAGAGAAGAGUAAUUUUAUAUUUUUCUAACUUAAAAACGCAAUAAUGACAGGUCAUCUCCCGGAGGACCUAGGAUAGAUAAAUAUCGACAAAGGAACACAAUCCGAAAAGUGCAAGUUUUCAAAGUGUCUAGAGCCGUAAUGGUUAGGAGGGAUAUCGAUCUAGUCCCGCUCUCUCUCUGUCUGUCUGUUCGAUCAAUGUUAUUGACCGUACGUAGUAACUGUUGAUGUUGUCUGUAGCAAACACACCCUUACGUUAGUUGAUUGCCUAAAUGGUAUCGGUACACGACUCCGUCCCAAAAGGGUUGGUUACUAAAUAACAGUCAGAAACUUUUGCCUGAUUGUGUCCGGAAAUAAGAAAGACAACUUUUGUUUCGAAAUCGAAUUAACGAAAUUGCUCUUUUGUCGUGUUUUUUUUUUUUCUUUAUUAUUAUUAUUAUUAUUGUUUCGGCCGUGUUAUAUAU